This 500-nucleotide ribosomal RNA is filed under the name uncultured bacterium. Its description in RNAcentral is "bacterial SSU rRNA". It matches the Rfam family "Bacterial small subunit ribosomal RNA", at positions 975 to 1474 of the family's 1533-position model. The record is from RNAcentral.
CAGGUCUUGACAUACUCGUGUAUCGUUAGGAUAAGGAGUUCCUUCGGGGCACGGGGUUCCAGGUGGUGCAUGGUUGUCGUCAGCUCGUGUCGUCAGAUGUUGGGUUAAGUCCCCGCAGCAGAGCGCACCCUUAUUACUAGUUGCCAUCAUUAAGUUGGGCACUCUAGUGAGACUGCCGGUGAUAAACCGGAGGAAGGUGGGGAUGACGUCAAAUCAUCAUGCCCCUUAUGACCUGGGCCACACACGUGCUACAAUGGAUGGUACAACGAGUCGCCAACCCGCGAGGGUGCGCUAAUCUCUUAAAACCAUUCUCAGUUCGGAUUGCAGGCUGCAACUCGCCUGCAUGAAGUCGGAAUCGCUAGUAAUCGCGGAUCAGCACGCCGCGGUGAAUACAUUCCCGGGCCUUGUACACACCGCCCCGUCACACCACGGAAGUUGGGAGUACCCAAAGUAGGUUGCCUAACCGCAAGGAGGGCGCUUCCUAAGGUAAGACCGUAUGA